UCGGAUUGUAGGCUGAAACUCGCCUACAUGAAGCUGGAGUUACUAGUAAUCGCAGAUCAGAAUGCUGCGGUGAAUGCGUUCCCGGGUCUUGUACACACCGCCCGUCACACCACGGAAGUUGGGGGCGCCCGAAGCCACUUAGCUAACCCUUUUGGGAAGCGAGUGUCGAAGGUGAAAUCAAUAACUGGGGUGAAGUCGUAACAAGGUACC
Molecule: ribosomal RNA, 210 nt
Filed under: uncultured bacterium
Lineage: Bacteria
Description: partial 16S ribosomal RNA
Rfam family: Bacterial small subunit ribosomal RNA
Source: RNAcentral